CCCUUAGAUGUUCUGGGCAGCACGCGCGCUACAAUGGUCUUCGCAAACGGAUGCAUUCUCGAAGGAGAAUGCCAAUCUUGGAAUCUAUGCCUUGGUCGGGACAGUUGCGUGCAAUUUUUCGACUCGAACCAGGAAUUCCUUGUAAUCGCGAUUCAUCACAUCACGAUGAAUACGUCCCUGCCCUUUGUACACACCGCCCGUCGCUCCUACCGAUCGAAGAGUUAGGUGAAUUGUUUUGAUCGAUAAGAUUUGACUAUGGUCAACUCUCGUUGUGAAAUUCUGUGAACCUGACUGUUUAGAGGAAGGAAAAGUCGUAACA
This 319-nucleotide ribosomal RNA is filed under the name uncultured eukaryote. Its description in RNAcentral is "partial 18S ribosomal RNA". It matches the Rfam family "Eukaryotic small subunit ribosomal RNA", at positions 1470 to 1796 of the family's 1831-position model. The record is from RNAcentral.